UAAACCACACCGCAUGAUGGUUUCCCCCUAAGGGAAUGAAAAGGGAACCGGGUGCCCGCGCCAUUGCCUGCAAUGGUUUUGCGAUAUUCCCGGGCUGUCCCCGCAACUGUAAGCGGCAUGGAUGUGCACGCACAGCGCCAAGCGCUGGCCCACUGGAACAAACCUUUCCGGGAAGGGGUGCCACAACCGAAAAACCGCAAGCCAGGAGACCUGCCAUCAGCACACAGUUGCA
This 232-nucleotide non-coding RNA is filed under the name Acetobacter pasteurianus. The record is from RNAcentral. Lineage: Bacteria; Pseudomonadati; Pseudomonadota; Alphaproteobacteria; Acetobacterales; Acetobacteraceae.